This 391-nucleotide ribosomal RNA is filed under the name uncultured soil bacterium. RNAcentral's name for it is "bacterial SSU rRNA". It matches the Rfam family "Bacterial small subunit ribosomal RNA", at positions 26 to 342 of the family's 1533-position model. The record is from RNAcentral.
AGAUUGAACGCUGGCGGCAUGCUUUACACAUGCAAGUCGAGCGGCAGCGCGGGGGCAACCCUGGCGGCGAGCGGCGAACGGGUGAGGAGCACAUCGGAACGUGCCCCGGGAGUGGGGGAUAACGCCGCGAAAGCGGCGCUAAUACCGCAUAUGCUCUGAGGAGGAAAGCGGGGGACCUGUGGAGGACCUCGCGCGUCUGGGAGCGGCCGAUCGUCCGAUUAGCUAGUUGGUGGGGUAAUGGCUCACCGAAGGCGACGAUCGGUAGCGUGGUCUGAGGAGAGUGAUCACGACCACACGUGGGACUGGAGACGACCGGACCGACGACCUCCGUACGGGAGCGAAGCGAGGUAGGGUAAUUUUGGAACGUAAGUACGGGGGACCUAACCCGUAG